Molecule: small nucleolar RNA, 185 nt
Filed under: Schizosaccharomyces cryophilus OY26
Lineage: Eukaryota; Fungi; Ascomycota; Schizosaccharomycetes; Schizosaccharomycetales; Schizosaccharomycetaceae
Description: small nucleolar RNA snR100
Rfam family: small nucleolar RNA snR100
Source: Rfam by way of RNAcentral
AAUCUCCUCUUUCUGCCUACCUGUUGCUACUUAAUCAACUGUGUAGUUCUGGUGCAGGAGUAUAACAAUCUGCCAUGCACCGCUGGUCUCUCUUACCUCUGAGGUCAGUGGCCAUGGUUGGUGGCCUUUCAGGCAAGGUACAGAGAUUCUUUUGUGAAUUUCUUUGCUUGGGGGCCUAUAUGUAA